Molecule: long non-coding RNA, 382 nt
Filed under: Prunus persica (peach)
Lineage: Eukaryota; Viridiplantae; Streptophyta; Magnoliopsida; Rosales; Rosaceae
Description: long non-coding RNA (PPER_LNC003897)
Source: RNAcentral
AGGUUUUUAUCCCAUUGGGUUUUUCCUGGUAAGGUUUUAACGAGGCAGUGUAGCUCAAGAGUUUAGGGUAUACUAUGAAAAUUUUUAUGGUCGCUUACUGGACAAAAGCUAGUCCUAAAUUUUUCAGGGGGAGCAUGGUUUUAAUAAAGACCUCCAUACACUGUACUCUUUUUCCUUCAUCCAGGUUUUUAUCCCACUGAGUUUUUCCUGGUAAGGUUUUAACGAGGCAGUGUCGCUCAAGAUUGACUCACAGAAGCAGUGUCAACUACGAUAUUCAGAAAGCUGAUCAACAGUAUGACUUAAAGAUAUUUUGCCAAGCAUCAGGGGGAGCGCACCAUCAAUAAAGAUCUUCAAACACCGUACUCUUUUUCCUUCGUCCGGG